UGCCGCGUGCAGGAAGACGGCCCUAUGGGUUGUAAACUGCUUUUAUACGGGAAGAACCACAUCUACGUGUAGAUGCUUGACGGUACCGUAUGAAUAAGGACCGGCUAACUCCGUGCCAGCAGCCGCGGUAAUACGGAGGGUCCAAGCGUUAUCCGGAAUCAUUGGGUUUAAAGGGUCCGUAGGCGGGAUAAUAAGUCAGUGGUGAAAGUCUGCAGCUCAACUGUAGAAUUGCCAUUGAUACUGUUGUUCUUGAAUUAUUAUGAAGUGGUUGGAAUGAGUAGUGUAGCGGUGAAAUGCAUAGAUAUUACUCAGAACACCUAUUGCGAAGGCAGAUCACUAAUAAUAUAUUGACGCUGAGGGACGAAAGCGUAGGUAGCGAACAGGAUUAGAUACCCUGGUAGUCUACGCCGUAAACGAUGGUUACUAGCUGUUCGGCUCGAUUGAGAGCUGAGUGGUUAAGCGAAAGUGAUAAGUAACCCACCUGGGGAGUACGUUCGCAAGAAUGAAACUCA
Molecule: ribosomal RNA, 512 nt
Filed under: Christiangramia sp.
Lineage: Bacteria; Pseudomonadati; Bacteroidota; Flavobacteriia; Flavobacteriales; Flavobacteriaceae
Description: bacterial SSU rRNA
Rfam family: Bacterial small subunit ribosomal RNA
Source: RNAcentral